RNAcentral lists this ribosomal RNA (497 nucleotides) under uncultured bacterium. RNAcentral's name for it is "partial 16S ribosomal RNA". It matches the Rfam family "Bacterial small subunit ribosomal RNA", at positions 28 to 507 of the family's 1533-position model. The record is from RNAcentral.
GAUGAACGCUGGCGGCGUGCCUAAUACAUGCAAGUAGAACGCUGAAGGAAGGAGCUUGCUCUUUCCGGAUGAGUUGCGAACGGGUGAGUAACGCGUAGGUAACCUGCCAGGUAGCGGGGGAUAACUAUUGGAAACGAUAGCUAAUACCGCAUAACAGUAGAUGUUGCAUGAUAUCUACUUAAAAGGUGCAAUUGCACCACUACCAGAUGGACCUGCGUUGUAUUAGCUAGUUGGUGAGGUAACGGCUCACCAAGGCGACGAUACAUAGCCGACCUGAGAGGGUGAUCGGCCACACUGGGACUGAGACACGGCCCAGACUCCUACGGGAGGCAGCAGUAGGGAAUCUUCGGCAAUGGACGGAAGUCUGACCGAGCAACGCCGCGUGAGUGAAGAAGGUUUUCGGAUCGUAAAGCUCUGUUGUAAGAGAAGAACGAGUGUGAGAGUGGAGAGUUCACACUGUGACGGUAUCUUACCAGAAAGGGACGGCUAACUACGUG